ACUCAAAUGAAUAGACGGGGACCUGCACAAGUGGAGGAGCGUGUGGUUUAAUUCGACAGCAAGCGAAGAACCUUACCGAGGCUUGACAUCUCCGGAAUUCCCUGGAAACAGGGAAGUGCCGAAAGGAGCCGGAUGACAGGUGCUGCACGGUUGUCGUCAGCUCGUGCUGUGAAGUGUCCCGUUCAGUCGGUUAACGAGCGCAACCCCUAUCCUGUGUUGAAUUUUUCACAGGAAACUGCCCUAGUUAAUAGGGAGGAAGGUGGGGAUGACGUCAAAUCAGCGUGGCUCUUACGCCUCGGGCUACACACGCGCUACAAUGGGGAGUAACAAUGGGUUGCCAAGUCGCAAGACGGAGCUAAUCCCAACAAACCUCCCCCCAGUUCGGAUUGAGGGCUGCAACUCGCCCCCAUGAAGUCGGAUUCACUAGUAACGGCCGGUCAGCCAUACGGCCGUGAAUACGUUCUCAGGUCUUGUACACACCGCCCGU
This 487-nucleotide ribosomal RNA is filed under the name uncultured bacterium. Its description in RNAcentral is "partial 16S ribosomal RNA". It matches the Rfam family "Bacterial small subunit ribosomal RNA", at positions 899 to 1397 of the family's 1533-position model. The record is from RNAcentral.